Molecule: long non-coding RNA, 1231 nt
Organism: Cyprinus carpio carpio
Lineage: Eukaryota; Metazoa; Chordata; Actinopteri; Cypriniformes; Cyprinidae
Source: Ensembl
GUUCAAAAGGCACUGAGGUUAGUGAGUAGAGGCUGAUAUUAAUCCCCUAAACACUUCUCCUGUAUCUUUCUUUCUCGUACAUCACACACACACACACACACUUUCACUCUCUCUCUCAGGUAAAGCUUUCUUCACUCCAGGUUGUUUUUUUCCUCUCAGCAAGUCUCUGCAGGGAAGCAAGUGUGUGGGAGUGCUUUCAACGAGCUCUCCACGCGUUCUCUGUGAAACGAGCGCAACCUGCCCUUCUUCUUCUUGCUCACUCUGUUCACCCUCACGCUCUUUGAGUACUGUCUGCUGUCUCUGCCACACCUACGUUCCCGUUCAUCAAACCAAGAGCAGGAUAUCUAAGCUUGACAUCUGGCCCUGUCUGACAUACCUCAAGUGACAGUAUGGGCAGAACACUGAGAGAGUGAACCUCACUGUAACCCCAUUCUCUACCACCACUCAAAGCACCAGUAGAUAAGCUGUUGUCACUGCAGGCAGGCUGCCGGUGAGCCGAGACUGAGCAGCGCUGGAAGCCAGAAACUGUGAGUCCACCAUGGCUGCUGCAAUUAUCUCUUAUUGAACCCUUACAUCAAAGAGAUGCUGUGGCCCCGUGGUGACUGUCUCAUCAGCGUGUUCUGUAGAAUUAUAUGCAUUUCCACUCUAAAGAGACAUAUUUCACCUAGAUGUGGAUUCAACACUGAUACAUAUUGCUUCUACAUCAAAUGUUGUGGAGGUUCCCUCUCAUUUAAUAAUGUCAUGCAUAAACUGUGAGUGUAUUUUUGAAUGCACAUUUUUUGACUAUAUAAAUACACUAUGUUAAUUUUUUUUUGUCAGUAAAACAAAUAAAUAGAUAAAAAAUAAAUAAAUAAACCUACUAACCUACUAAUAAAAUCUAAUUAGCAAGAAUACAUUAAACUGGAGUGACAGGAGAUAAUAUAAUAUUAUAAACAAUUUCUAUUUCAAAUAAAUAUCAUUCUUCUGAUUUUUUAUUUUUUUUAUCAAAAAAAAUCUUGAGAUAAAUGUUUUCAACUUCAACUAAUACGCAAUGUUUCUUGAGCACCAAAUUAGCAUAUUAAAAUGAUUUCUAAAGAAUCACGUGACACUGAAGACUGGCUCCUGAAAACUUUGACAUCUCAAAUUACAUUUAAAAUAUGAUAAAAUAGAAAACAUUUCAAAUUGUAAUAAUAUAUCCCAAUAUUACUGUUUUUACAGUAUUUUUGAUCAAAUAAAUUCAUUCUUGAUGAGC